GUGCCUGCUGUGCUGAUAAUCAGU
RNAcentral lists this microRNA (24 nucleotides) under Danio rerio (zebrafish). Its description in RNAcentral is "Dre-Mir-24-P3_5p* (star (passenger))". The record is from RNAcentral. RNAcentral also lists the same sequence under 1 other name. Lineage: Eukaryota; Metazoa; Chordata; Actinopteri; Cypriniformes; Danionidae.